This 443-nucleotide ribosomal RNA is filed under the name uncultured Pelagibacterales bacterium. RNAcentral describes it as "bacterial SSU rRNA". It matches the Rfam family "Bacterial small subunit ribosomal RNA", at positions 1074 to 1533 of the family's 1533-position model. Lineage: Bacteria; Pseudomonadati; Pseudomonadota; Alphaproteobacteria; Candidatus Pelagibacterales. The record is from RNAcentral.
AGUGGGUAGUCCGCACGAGCGCACCUCACUUUUAGUUGCCAUCAUUAAGUUGGGCACUCUGAAAGAACUGCCAGUGAUAAGCUGGAGGAAGGUGGGGAUGACGUCAAGUCCUCAUGGCCCUUACGUGUUGGGCUACACACGUGCUACAAUGGCAUCUACAACAGGAAGCAAAACGGCAACGUUAAGCAAACCCCGAAAAGAUGCCUCAGUUCGGAUUGCACUCUGCAACUCGAGUGCAUGAAGCUGGAAUUACUAGUAAUCGUGGAUCAGCGUGCCACGGUGAAUGCGUUCCCGGGUCUUGUACACACCGCCCGUCACACCAUGGGAGUUGGUUCUACCUUAAGGCAAGGUUUUAAACCCUUGACCACGGUAUAGUCAGCGACUGGGGUGAAGUCGUAACAAGGUAGCCGUAGGGGAACCUGCGGCUGGAUUACCUCCUUUCU